AAACCAAAGCUGGCGACCGGCGCACGGGUGAGUAACACGUAUCCAACCUGCCUCAUACUCGGGGAUAGCCUUUCGAAAGAAAGAUUAAUAUCCGAUAGCAUAUAUUUCCCGCAUGGGUUUUAUAUUAAAGAAAUUCGGUAUGAGAUGGGGAUGCGUUCCAUUAGUUUGUUGGGGGGGUAACGGCCCACCUAGUCAACGAUGGAUAGGGGUUCUGAGAGGAAGGUCCCCCACAUUGGAACUGAGACACGGUCCAA
Molecule: ribosomal RNA, 254 nt
Filed under: uncultured bacterium
Lineage: Bacteria
Description: partial 16S ribosomal RNA
Rfam family: Bacterial small subunit ribosomal RNA
Source: RNAcentral